Molecule: ribosomal RNA, 248 nt
Filed under: uncultured bacterium
Lineage: Bacteria
Description: partial 16S ribosomal RNA
Rfam family: Bacterial small subunit ribosomal RNA
Source: RNAcentral
AGGGGGCUAGCGUUGUUCGGAAUUACUGGGCGUAAAGCGCACGUAGGCGGGUCGUUAAGUCAGGGGUGAAAUCCCAGAGCUCAACUCUGGAACUGCCUUUGAUACUGGCGACCUAGAGUUCGGAAGAGGUUAGUGGAAUUCCCAGUGUAGAGGUGAAAUUCGUAGAUAUUGGGAAGAACACCAGUGGCGAAGGCGGCUAACUGGUCCGAUACUGACGCUGAGGUGCGAAAGCGUGGGGAGCAAACAGG